Long non-coding RNA from Jaculus jaculus (lesser Egyptian jerboa), 821 nucleotides. RefSeq lists it as uncharacterized. The record is from RefSeq and is a predicted model, not a curated record. The transcript is spliced from 3 exons. Lineage: Eukaryota; Metazoa; Chordata; Mammalia; Rodentia; Dipodidae.
UAGCCAGAGAGCCAUGGGCAACGGGCUGAGCAGAGGAGGAUCCAGUGUCCAUCGCUUAAAAAUGCCCCUGUGGCAGUGAAGGGUGCCAGACUCAAGUGAAGUUAGUUGAGAGGCAGUGACAUCCCCAACCAUUCCCCAUACAAGCUGAGCCCCACCUCCAGGCCCCGAGGAGCCACCCCAGACCAGACUCCAGGCAAGGCAACAGCACUGGCUGGUGGGAGUCCUCCCCACACUGGAGAAACUAGAUCCCCAGAGAGGGAUAGAGAGAGAGCCUCCUGGAGACCAGAAGAGAACAGGUGGAAGCAGCCUUGGUCCCCAAACUGAGCUUCCCGACAGCCAGAAGACAUACAGAAAGGAAGGGGAUUGGGCCACGUCCUGGCAGCAGCCCCCAAGCUGCUGAGCCCAGACACUGAGAGCAUGAGAUAAAACCUCCAGCCCACCUGGCCGAGCCACCUCCCUUAACAGAAGGGGAAAGUGAGCCCCAGAGAGGAAGGGGCCCAGUGAGAUGUAGCUUCGUUGACUGGCCAUGGAGCCUGGAUCCUGAGGGCCUUCCUCAUCUCCUGACUGGGCAUCCAGGCCUGAAGGAGCCUUUCAUGGGGUAAGUGAUAUAGGGGCACACAAACCUCUUCUUGGUGAGGCCCACGUGAAAGAGACAGGGGUUUGGGAUAAGCUCUGCCUACCAGUCCAAUACAUAUACAAGGCUCAAAGGAUGUCUUCCAGAGAGCCUGAAGGGCCACCUCCCUGCCCCCAGCCCAGCCCCAAAGGCCUUGCCAGCUCCCCUGCCUACAGGGCAGGAACCACUUUGUCCACAAGCGCUUAGU